Long non-coding RNA from Triticum aestivum (bread wheat), 738 nucleotides. RefSeq lists it as uncharacterized. Lineage: Eukaryota; Viridiplantae; Streptophyta; Magnoliopsida; Poales; Poaceae. The transcript is spliced from 3 exons. The record is from RefSeq and is a predicted model, not a curated record.
CGUGAACCUCGCCACCGCCCAGCUUAGCCUCAUCCAUUCCACAUCACCUAUGGUCGGGGAGACAUGAGCAGUUCUCCACCCAGAUCCCGUCUCUCAGCCGUUCUGGCAGCGGCCGACAGCACUCGGCAAGUUACGGUGCUAGCAAAGCACGGCGAGCGGUGGUGGCGGGAAACGGCGAGUGGCUGUGCAUGCUGUUGUGGGAGUGGUGGUGGCGGCAAACGGCGAGCGGCGGCGGCACGGGCUGAUGGGCGAGCGGGGGCUGGGGGUCCAGGGCUGAUGGCCGAGCGGCGGGGCAUGCUAAUGAGCGACCGGCGCUCUGUGGGCUGAUCUUCUACGCUGAUCAGUUCUCAUUCGCAUGCACGGUAAAGGAGGCGGCAGAUCCAUAUCUCUAGCGAACAGCCGCCCGAGGCAAGGUCUUCUCGCCACCUAGCCAGAAGUUUGAUCCUUCCGAAGAGGUAUUGGGAAGUAAUAUUGGAGAUAAAUCGAGUUGUAAUAAUGCUCAUGAUACCAAUGAUGACGAUGGUAUCUAUGGCAAUAUGGGAGAUUAUAUAUAUGGUGAGGAGCCUUAUGAUCAGUACGACGAUAUGGUGAUGAGGCUGAUGAUCUUCGAGUCAUGCAACAAAGUGAAGUUAUGAAGUUCAUCGACAAUUAGCUUAUGCAAAACAUUUGGACCAUUAUAUCUUAGUUACUAUUUUGUUUUGCAUUGGACACUUCUUAGAUGCAUCACUAUGGUCAUUG